Molecule: small nuclear RNA, 154 nt
Filed under: Nannospalax galili (Upper Galilee mountains blind mole rat)
Lineage: Eukaryota; Metazoa; Chordata; Mammalia; Rodentia; Spalacidae
Description: U1 spliceosomal RNA (ENSNGAG00000001644.1)
Rfam family: U1 spliceosomal RNA
About the family: U1 is a small nuclear RNA (snRNA) component of the spliceosome (involved in pre-mRNA splicing). Its 5' end forms complementary base pairs with the 5' splice junction, thus defining the 5' donor site of an intron.
Source: RNAcentral
CUACUUAGCUGGUAGGGGAGAUACUAUGAUCAGGAAGGUGGUUUUCCCAGGGAGAGGCUUAUCUAUUGCACUCUGAUGUGCUACCUCUGUGAUUUUCCUAAAUGCAGAAAAUGCGACUGCAUUAAUUUGUGAUUUUAUUCAUGCUCUCCUGUUU